RNAcentral lists this ribosomal RNA (481 nucleotides) under uncultured bacterium. RNAcentral's name for it is "partial 16S ribosomal RNA". It matches the Rfam family "Bacterial small subunit ribosomal RNA", at positions 28 to 507 of the family's 1533-position model. The record is from RNAcentral.
GAUGAACGCUAGCGGGAGGCCUAACACAUGCAAGCCGAGCGGUAGAAAGUAGCUUGCUACUUUUGAGAGCGGCGUACGGGUGCGGAACACGUGUGCAACCUGCCUUUAUCUGGGGAAUAGCCUUUCGAAAGGAAGAUUAAUGCCCCAUAACAUAUUGAUUGGCAUCAAUUAAUAUUGAAAGCUCCGGCGGAUAGAGAUGGGCACGCGCAAGAUUAGCUAGUUGGUGAGGUAACGGCUCACCAAGGCGAUGAUCUUUAGGGGGCCUGAGAGGGUGAUCCCCCACACUGGUACUGAGACACGGACCAGACUCCUACGGGAGGCAGCAGUGAGGAAUAUUGGACAAUGGGUGCAAGCCUGAUCCAGCCAUCCCGCGUGAAGGAUGACGGCCCUAUGGGUUGUAAACUUCUUUUAUACAGGGAUAAACCUACUUACGUGUAAGUAACUGAAGGUACUGUAUGAAUAAGCACCGGCUAACUCCGUG